Molecule: ribosomal RNA, 441 nt
Filed under: uncultured bacterium
Lineage: Bacteria
Description: partial 16S ribosomal RNA
Rfam family: Bacterial small subunit ribosomal RNA
Source: RNAcentral
CCUACGGGGGGCUGCAGUGGGGGAUAUUGCACAAUGGGGGGAACCCUGAUGCAGCGACGCCGCGGGGGUGAAGGAGUGCUUCGGCAUGUAAAGCCCUAUCGGCAGGGAAGCAGCAAGACGGUACCUGACUAAGAAGCCCCGGCUAACUACGUGCCAGCAGCCGCGGUAAUACGUAGGGGGCGAGCGUUAUCCGGAUUUACUGGGGGUAAAGGGAGCGUAGACGGCAGCGCAAGUCUGGAGUGAAAUCCCAUGGCUUAACCAUGGAACUGCUUUGGAAACUGUGCAGCUGGAGUGCAGGAGAGGUAAGCGGAAUUCCUAGUGUAGCGGUGAAAUGCGUAGAUAUUAGGAGGAACACCAGUGGCGAAGGCGGCUUACUGGACUGUAACUGACGUUGAGGCUCGAAAGCGUGGGGAGCAAACAGGAUUAGAUACCCCGGUAGUC